AGAGUUUGAUCCUGGCUCAGGACGAACGCUGGCGGCGCGCUUAACACAUGCAAGUCGAGCGAUGAAACUUUAACAGAACCCUUCGGGGCGAAGAUAAAGUGGAUUAGCGGCGGACGGGUGAGUAACACGUGAGUAACCUGCCUUAGACAUUGGGAUAGCCUCGGGAAACCGGGAUUAAUACCAAAUAAAAUCAUAAUGACACAUGUCAUAACGAUCAAAACUCCGGUGGUCUAAGAUGGACUCGCGUCCCAUUAGCUAGUUGGUAGAGUAAAAGCCUACCAAGGCGACGAUGGGUAGCCGGCCUGAGAGGGUGAACGGCCACAUUGGAACUGAGAAACGGUCCAAACUCCUACGGGAGGCAGCAGUGGGGAAUAUUGCACAAUGGAGGGAACUCUGAUGCAGCGACGCCGCGUGAACGAAGAAGGCUUUCGAGUCGUAAAGUUCUUUUAUAUGGGAAGAUAAUGACGGUACCAUAAGAAAAAGCCCCGGCUAACUACGUGCCAGCAGCCGCGGUAAUACGUAGGGGGCUAGCGUUGUCCGGAAUCACUGGGCGUAAAGGGUUCGCAGGCGGAAAUGCAAGUCAGAUGUAAA
This 591-nucleotide ribosomal RNA is filed under the name uncultured bacterium. Its description in RNAcentral is "bacterial SSU rRNA". It matches the Rfam family "Bacterial small subunit ribosomal RNA", at positions 8 to 598 of the family's 1533-position model. The record is from RNAcentral.